UCAAACAUCAAAAUUUGUUUGCAAACAGACCCAAAAAAUCCAGCUAUGGGCAAUACGGAGAAGCUGUUGAACCAGAUCAUGGACCUCAAAUUCACCUCCAAAUCGCUGCAACGCCAGGCCAAGAAGUGCGAGAAGGAGGAGAAAUCUGAGAAAUUGAAGGUGAAAAAGGCGAUCGAGAAAGGUAACAUGGACGGUGCUCGGAUCUACGCCGAGAACGCCAUCCGUAAGCGCACUGAGCAGAUGAACUACCUGCGUCUCGCUUCCCGACUCGAUGCUGUAGUUGCCAGGCUCGAUACCCAGGCUAAGAUGACCACCAUC
This 318-nucleotide long non-coding RNA is filed under the name Gossypium raimondii (Peruvian cotton). Its description in RNAcentral is "long non-coding RNA (GRAI_LNC008872)". Lineage: Eukaryota; Viridiplantae; Streptophyta; Magnoliopsida; Malvales; Malvaceae. The record is from RNAcentral.